GUUGCCUAANAAAUGAAUAGAAGUUCAGCCUCGGUGCACCUCAAAUCACACAAACAAAAUAAGACUAAGAGAAACACAUGAGAGUUAGUUAAAGGGGGUACAGCCCCUUUAACAAAGGACACAACCUUUCCAGGAGGAUAAAGAUCAUAAUACAUAAAACAUACUGUUCUAGUGGGCCUAAAAGCAGCCAUCUAAACAGAAAGCGUUAAAGCUCAGACAGAAAAAAGUUUAUUAUCCCGAUAAAAAAUCUUACUCCCCUAAGUACUAUUAGGCCAACCCAUGCCCCCAUGGAAGAGAUUAUGCUAAAAUGAGUAACAAGAAGGCCCGCCCUUCUCCAAGCACAAGUGUAAGCCAAACCGGACCAACCAUUGGCAACUAACGAACUCAAUCAAAGAGAGCAAUGUGAAUUACAAAAAAACCAAGAAAAAUCCACAACUAAGCUAUCGUUACCCCCACACUGGAGUGCCCUAAAGGAAAGACUAAAAGAAAAGGAAGGAACUCGGCAAACACAAGCCUCGCCUGUUUACCAAAAACAUCGCCUCCUGCAACGCAACCAAGUAUAGGAGGUCCAGCCUGCCCAGUGACUACAAGUUCAACGGCCGCGGUAUUUUG
This 612-nucleotide ribosomal RNA is filed under the name Cyprinus carpio (common carp). RNAcentral describes it as "partial 16S ribosomal RNA". It matches the Rfam family "Bacterial large subunit ribosomal RNA", at positions 852 to 1897 of the family's 2925-position model. Lineage: Eukaryota; Metazoa; Chordata; Actinopteri; Cypriniformes; Cyprinidae. The record is from RNAcentral.